This is a non-coding RNA of Ceratotherium simum simum (southern white rhinoceros), 205 nucleotides long. NCBI's taxonomy places the organism in Eukaryota, Metazoa, Chordata, Mammalia, Perissodactyla, Rhinocerotidae. The record is from RefSeq and is a predicted model, not a curated record.
UUACCACCUUUACGAUUAUCACUCUGGUUGGCUACCUUCAUUUCUCACCUGGGUUACUGCCAAGACUUCCAGCUUCUACCUUUAUCCUUAUAGUAGGUUUCUAACAUAGUAGUCAUGGUGGUGAUGCUUUCAAAACCUAAGGUAGAUCAUAUCAGUCAAGGGUAUCCAUAUGGCUGAUCAGCAUGUAAAUACUAAAAAAUUAGCA